RNAcentral lists this ribosomal RNA (433 nucleotides) under uncultured bacterium. RNAcentral's name for it is "partial 16S ribosomal RNA". It matches the Rfam family "Bacterial small subunit ribosomal RNA", at positions 29 to 507 of the family's 1533-position model. The record is from RNAcentral.
AACGAACGCUGGCGGCAUGCCUAACACAUGCAAGUCGAACGAGACCUUCGUGUCUAGUGGCGCAAGGGUGCGUACCGCGUGGGAACUUGCACUUAGGUUAGGAAUCACUCCCUGAGAGGGGUGCUAAUCAAAGUUAAUCUCAUCGGGCCAAAGAUGUAUCGCUUUUGGAUGGGGCCGCGUUGGAUUAGCGAGUUGGUAGUGUAAAAGCCUACCAAGGCGUCGUUGCAUAGCUGGUCUGAGAGGAUGAUCAUCCAGACUGGGAAUGAGACCCGGCCCAGACUGCUACGGGGGACAGCAGUGGGUUAUAUUAGGCGAUGGAGCAAGACCUGAUCAAGCCAUGUGGGGUGAGUCAUGAAUCCCUUUGGGUUGUAAUGCCCUGUUUCCCGGAGUGUGAAUGACAGUACCGGGAGAAUAAGCUCCGGCUAACUCCGUG